This 497-nucleotide ribosomal RNA is filed under the name uncultured bacterium. RNAcentral describes it as "partial 16S ribosomal RNA". It matches the Rfam family "Bacterial small subunit ribosomal RNA", at positions 28 to 507 of the family's 1533-position model. The record is from RNAcentral.
GAUGAACGCUGGCGGCGUGCCUAAUACAUGCAAGUAGAACGCUGAAGGAAGGAGCUUGCUCUUUCCGGGUGAGUUGCGAACGGGUGAGUAACGCGUAGGUAACCUGCCUGGUAGCGGGGGAUAACUAUUGGAAACGAUAGCUAAUACCGCAUAACAGUAGAUGUUGCAUGAUAUCUACUUAAAAGGUGCAAUUGCACCACUACCAGAUGGACCUGCGUUGUAUUAGCUAGUUGGUGAGGUAACGGCCCACCAAGGCGACGAUACAUAGCCGACCUGAGAAGGGGAACGGGCCAACUGGGAAGUGGACACCGGCCAAGACCCUACGGGGAGGAGCAGUAGGGGAACCUCGGCAAUGGGCGGAAGGCUUAACGGGGAAAGCCGCGGGAGUGGAGAAGGUUUUCGGAACGUAAAGAUCUGGUGAAAGGGGAAAAAGAGUGGGGUAAUGGAAAGUGCACGCUGUGACGGUAUCUUACCAGAAAGGGACGGCUAACUACGUG